RNAcentral lists this ribosomal RNA (274 nucleotides) under uncultured bacterium. Its description in RNAcentral is "partial 16S ribosomal RNA". It matches the Rfam family "Bacterial small subunit ribosomal RNA", at positions 523 to 796 of the family's 1533-position model. The record is from RNAcentral.
AUACGGGGGGAGCAAGCGUUGUCCGGAAUCAUUGGGCGUAAAGGGCACGUAGGCGGUUUCUUAAGUCGAAUGUGAAAUCUCACGGCUCAACCGUGAAUCUGCGUUCGAAACUAAGUGACUUGAGUUUGGGAGAGGUGUACGGAAUUCCUGGUGUAGCGGUGGAAUGCGUAGAUAUCAGGAAGAACACCAAUGGCGAAGGCAGUACACUGGCCUGAAACUGACGCUGAGGUGCGAAAGCGUGGGGAGCAAACAGGAUUAGAAACCCCGGUAGUCC